UUUUUAAAGCCACUGUUAUUAUCAUGAAAAUCGAUAAUCCAUAAAUAUCAAGAAUCAUCAUAAUUUCAAAAAUAUAUACUCAUUAAUCAUAACUUCAAAUUAAACAUGAUUUCAUAUACUCAAAAUCGAGAAAUAACAAUGGAAAUCAACAUGAUACACAUUAUUACUUCUCAACCACAUAUAGCAUGAUUUCAUAAGGUAUUUUUAAUCAAAAUCAUUUU
This 221-nucleotide long non-coding RNA is filed under the name Musa acuminata (dwarf banana). RNAcentral's name for it is "long non-coding RNA (MACU_LNC007084)". The record is from RNAcentral. Lineage: Eukaryota; Viridiplantae; Streptophyta; Magnoliopsida; Zingiberales; Musaceae.